Molecule: non-coding RNA, 3654 nt
Organism: Peromyscus maniculatus bairdii (prairie deer mouse)
Lineage: Eukaryota; Metazoa; Chordata; Mammalia; Rodentia; Cricetidae
Source: RefSeq, a predicted model, not a curated record
AAAGAAGAAAAAAGAGACAUAACGAAGAAGAAAAAGAAGAACGUAGGCUCCUCUGAGUAAGCGAGGGAAGUGAGCCCAGCUGCAUACCCGUGGCUCCGGGAAUAGUCAUCCUGGCUGGUUCUAGGAAAUAAACCAGAAAAUCCAAUUGAGAACUUAUCUUGAGGUAGAAAUACUGUCUUCCUGCUUUUAAGGGAACUGCCCGUGCGAUCGUGAGCUUAGACCGGCAGAACAAAGAGAGGAAGGCUGGUCACUUCCGAUUGCAUGGCACCCACGGAUUCAUCAUACUUUCCCUGUUCCGAGCUCUUGACUCCGCGAACCAAGUGCUUUCAAGAAAAGAGAAAUGGAAGCUGUCAUUUCCUAUCGUCUCAAAGACAGUCGAGCCCGGGAAAGAUGAAGGGAGGCGGAGGGGACUGUGUUCAGAUGACUAAGCAUGCAUCUGACCUGGAAAAGACUCCUGUCCUCUCUGCGGAAGGGAGGGAGCCCAAUUAGGGGCAUGUAUGAACAAAUGACAUUACCUCACUGAGGGAGAGAGGAAAAUGCUCUCUCCGUGCUAACAAUGACCUUGGGAGAAAAUCUGUUAACUAAUCUGUGAAGAAUUUGCAACCCCAGUGAGUUGCCUCCCUGCUAUGAGCUCCAAACUUCCUUCCUCAGAACUUGACCUCUGAUCCAGUGCUGCCGGACCCUGGGAAAGUCAGCAUCAUGGGAAACAGCCCACCCCAAGUGGCUCUGUUCUGGAUCAGCUCGUCUAGAGAAGGAAAGUCGUGGUCGUCCUUGGAGGUCAGAGUCAGCAGCACCGUGAAGUUCCGUUCUCAGAACCCGGGUCUCCGACUGAACAGAUGUCGAUGGGAUAGCGGGAGCCCACACUCAGCGCUGCCUUUGAACUUACGCAGAGGAGCAGCAUUCAUCGAUCGCUUCAGAGCAGAAUCAAUGAGACCACACGGACGGCGUAGGCAAGGGGAGUAAGAGGUGCUGGUGUGCCUGCGGUUCAGUCAGAUGAGUCGUCUCUGACAUGUCUGGCUGCUCUUGGGACUGUGGGACCUCUGGCUGUCAUCUGAGAGCAGGUCCCCUGACUCCUGCUCUUGAAUCCUCCAUUUCACACUUUGGAUGCCUGAGUCAGAUACCCAGGGCACCCUCAGCUCUCAGGAGCUCGAGGCAAGGAAUUAGAAGAGAGGAAGAAAUACCUUGAAAAUCUAAAAGUGUGUGUGUGUGUGUGUGUGUGUGUGUGUGUGUGUGUGUGUGUGUGUGUAGCGCACAUGAGACAGAGCCCACAGGAGGGCUCUGGAAGCUACCCUGGGAGAGCAUGUCCAGGCCUGGACAGCGGCAGAGGCUGGCUGGUGAUGAGGGUGGGUGGAGCCCACGACAAGCUCCUAAAACACAGCUCACGGCUACUCCUGGUUCAUUCUCCCGGACUCUGUGUUCCUGUCUUUUAUCCUGCAUCCAUGGCCACCUCACUUCGCCCGCUGUGUGGGCAGACACCAGGACACAGCCAUGAAGUCACACCAGAAGAGAACACAGCAAAGAGACAACAUCCCAGCUUCUAGGACAUGCUGAGGAGAGAACAGGGCUUCUGGGAGCAUCACGCUAGGUCAUCUCUGUGGGUUUGACUCUCUGUUCUCAGACUUCCCUGGCCAAGCCCCACCCGGCCCUUGGUAGAGGCCAUGUGCAGCCUAUGCCCAGGACUUUCCUUUUUCUUUCCUUUUUUUCUUUCUCGGUUUUUCCAGACAGGGUUUCUCUGUGUAGUUUUGGUGCCUGUCCCGGAUCUCACUCUGUAGACCAAGCUGGCCUUGAACUCGCAGAGAUCCACCUGGCUCUGCCUCCCGAGUGCUGGGAUUAAAGGCGUGCGCCACCACCACCCGGCCAGGACUUUUCAAUACUGGUUCAGGAUACCUGAAAAGAUGGAUUCUACUCUCUACCCCAGUCACUGAGAAUCCUGAGCUUUGUGGCACAUGCUUGCGGUCCCAGCUACUCAGAAGGCUGAAGCAGAAAUGUACAUAGCAUGAGUCCGUAUGUCUGGACCCAACUGAGUCCGUAAGUCUGGAACCAACUGGGUUAGACACCAUUUCACAGAAAAAGACGCUGAGAUGUGCUUUUGGAGUGUGGGUCCCGUGGAUCCACAUCUUCAGCAUUCGCCCAUGAACAGCAGCUAGAGCCGGGUCUGCUUCCCUCCUGAGCGUCCCGAAGCCCAGUACCACUUGCUCAUUAUGUGGACCCAUUCCACAGUGGGGUGUUUGGCCCUAAGCAAUGUCUUACAGGUCCUUCACUCUUGGCCACCUGCCACCCUCUCCCUGCCUCUCUGACUCCCACUGAGACAGCAAAUCGAGAGCCCUGUGGGCACCCACCAUACUUAAGCUCUGGGGAUGCUUUCCUGUCCCAAGUGGCUCCCCCAGGGACUGUGAACUGCACUGAAGCCUCUGGGGCCCUGAAGUUACAGGAAAGAGGAAGCCGGUGUCCAUGGCUUUCUUGUGGGAUGGGGAUGAAGAUUCAGUGAAGUAAGAAAGACUGGCUUUGACAGGUGCUCUGUGCUCCACAGGGACAAGGCAUCAUUAUCCACACAGCAAGACUGACAGGAGUUGACAUAGGUCUCUGUGUCACCACAGUGUCCUGGAAGCUUCGGCUGGAGCUUCGUGUCAAUCAAUGGUGGCUUGCAAGUCGCUGGAAUCGAGGGCUCUGAAGGUGACAAGGAGGAGACAGAUCGCCUCGGUGUGCAUGCACAUGGGAGAUGAGCUGUCACUGGAGAGCAAGAUCAUGGGCACCACAGGAGGACGGAGGCAGAGCAGCAGCAACUCUGGGCAUAUCAACUGACUGCUGAGUAGGCCCGCUCUUUACCCACGGGCUAACCAGAAAAGCAGAGCGGGCAUGCUCACAGACACCUUUGCUCAGGGAUGUCAGACAGCCCUUUGCUCCGUGUCUUUAGAAUGCAGCAAGGUCUCAGCAGCGGAGGGACCGGCACCUCCUGUCCCUGGUCCUUGUCCAUCCAGAAUCUGACCUCAGAAGAUGCUUUGGUUUCAUUUCUGGUACGGUGAUAAAAACCCUAAAAGCUCACAAUUCUCGGUUGCCAUCUGGCCCAGCAGGGAGGUCAGAGUGGUGGGAACUCAAAACGUCCAGUCACGUCCACAGCCAAAGAGCGGAGAGAAAUGAUGCACGCAUGGUCGUGAGCGCUUCCAUCGGAUGAAUGGCGACCGCCAUCUAGAGCUGCCAAAGUCUCCUCGGGCCACACAGCCCUGGUGCUGACGGCACCGGUUUCAGUCCCGAAAGUGACAGGCGUCUCCCCGUGAGUUUAGAGUUGGGGUGGGGUCUCUCAAGCCCUUGUACACCCCUGCAUUUUGAACUUGAUCCAGGGUAUGAUGUAGACACCCUGUGAAGAUGGUUUCUAGGAAAUGUGGUCCCCCUGCCCUGGCUGGUUGGAUGGGAUCCAUGGAGCGCUUUUUCACAGCUAUCAUUGCCCCACUAGGGUAACUGGGCUUCACAGAUCAUUGGGGUAGGGGCUUUUUUACAACCCAGGCUCUGAAGUACUGAGACUGGGGGACCAGUUCUGGGAAGUCCCGGGUGGCUGGUCACCCUGACCUCUUACCACCUCCUGCCCACUCAGACUUGAACAGGGAGGCUCACAAGGACAUUGAUGUCACAUUGCAAUAAAUGGUCCUGGGCUCUGAA